RNAcentral lists this ribosomal RNA (458 nucleotides) under uncultured bacterium. RNAcentral's name for it is "bacterial SSU rRNA". It matches the Rfam family "Bacterial small subunit ribosomal RNA", at positions 29 to 496 of the family's 1533-position model. The record is from RNAcentral.
AACGAACGUUGGCGGCGUGGAUUAGGCAUGCAAGUCGAACGAAUGUCAGUUUUGUAGCAAUACCGAGCUGGCGGAAGUGGCGAAAGGGGCAGUAAUGCAUGGGUAACCUACCUUGGGGAUGGGCAUAGCCGUUCUAACGAACGGGUAAUUCCCAGCGAUUCGACGGGAGGGCAUCCUUCUGUCGGGAAAUGAAUUUCGCCUCAAGAGGGGCCCAUGUCGUAUUAGCUAGUUGGUAGGGUAACGGCCUACCAAGGCAAAGAUGCGUAGCGGGUGUGAGAGCACGACCCGCGCCACUGGCACUGAGACACUGGCCAGACACCUACGGGUGGCUGCAGUCGAGGAUCUUCGUCAAUGGGCGCAAGCCUGAACGAGCGACGCCGCGUGCGCGAUGAAGGCCUCGGUUGUAAGCGCGAAGUGGGAAGAAAGACGAAAGUUAGAUCGACCACAGUAAGGACGGG